AAGGUUACACUGUCUCCUUUUUCUAAUCAGUAAAACUAAUCUCCCCGUGAAGAAGCGGGGAUCCUUAUAUAAGACGAGAAGACCCUAUGGAGCUUUAAACGAAAUAACAUCUACCAACUCAACCAACAAUUUCAGAAAAUUAACACUAAACUUGGUAUAAUGAUUACUAGUUUUAGGUUGGGGUGACCGCGGAGCAAAAAACAACCUCCGCAUUGAAUGGACUUACACUCCUAAACAAAAAGCCACAACUUUAUGUAUCAACAUACUGACAUCCAUUGACCCAUUAAUUUGAUCAACGAACCAAGUUACCCUAGGGAUAACAGCGCAAUCCAUUUCAAGAGCCCCUAUCGACAAAUGG
Molecule: ribosomal RNA, 358 nt
Filed under: Odontophrynus juquinha
Lineage: Eukaryota; Metazoa; Chordata; Amphibia; Anura; Alsodidae
Description: partial large subunit ribosomal RNA
Rfam family: Bacterial large subunit ribosomal RNA
Source: RNAcentral